CCGCAUUCCCAGAGGGACCACCUUUGCUAAUUAGCUACCUAGCAUGCUCCGAACCCCUGUGCGUAACGGAAGAAGGCCUUGACAACGGUGCUGUCACUGAAAAAUACAGUAUGCUGCAACUGUGUUAAAGCCGGGUAAAACCAUGUACAAUCUACUUGGUGGGGACGAUCAGUGAUGGUCCUGUACUAUGAAUCAUUUUCACCUGUGGAGUUUCAUGACCUGCCCCCCGAGGUGAAGCAGUGGGAUGGACCGAGACAUCGAUAAUUAGGGUCAUUAGCCAGGGCUGGGAAGCUUCCCACUGGACACAGAUGUCAGUUCAUCAUCUAGUUUUGAUUUACAUUUGAUUGAGUUGUCAGCUAACAUGAAUUCAACAUGAAAUUAACAAAAAAUGUCACAAGGUCAUUGGAUUUAGGUUAAAAGUUGAGAGAAAAAAAUACUAAAUUCCAUUUACGUUGAUGACUUUUUUUCAAAUUCAAUCAGUUUUCCAUGUUGAUUCAACGUCGUCAUAUAAAAUGUUGGGGUUGAAAUGACAUGGAAACAAUAUUGAUUCAACCAGUUUUUGCCCAGUGGGUUGUGGUUUGACUGUCAACAAUAAGUGUCAUCACAAACAGGUUUGUCGAGGACCUAUUGUGAAAAAGGCUUUCUCUGGCAGGUGUAGAUUUAAUUAUGUUCCCACUAGAAACGAGGCAAGCCUGCUAACUGACUUAACGUGUACAUCCCGUCAUGCCAAUACAGAAUAGGAGAAAUCCUGUCGCUUCUCUUAUUUUUCACAUUUAUAAAACUGAGCUCAUUUAGGCCCCUUCAGUUGAUUAUUCUGUCUGUAAAUUAUUGUAAUAUGGUGCAAAAAUAUCUACUUAAUAUGAAGCCUAUAUACUGGAGAUGAUAAAGCAAUGCCACGAAUGGAGAAAAGUCAAGUCAUGUGAAUAUGCCCAACAGCGCCCCUACACUCCUGGGAAGUAUCCUACAUGGUGUUUUGGUUUGUUUACAUCUAGGUAUAUCAAGUGCGCACUGUCAUGCAAUCACAACACCACAUAUGUCAGUAUGGCCUUCAUUCACAUAACAGUCAUAAGAUUCAUAUUAAUAUAAGUAAGUAGCACGCAUAGUCCUUUUAUAAACGCGAACUUAUUAUAAACAUGACUAUAGUCUACAGUAACUUCAUUUAAUCAGUAACAACUUGUUUGUAAACAACUACUUUUUUUGUUAUUUUUCUGUCUCGUUUUUAUUAUUGGGCUCUGUUGUGUUUGAUGUUUUAUACCGCCAUGAGGAAAUAAGUAGUGACCAUGCCAAUAUUAAGUGCAAGUGCGUAACAUCCUCCUCGCUCCUAUUUACGCACAUCCAUCUCUUGCGCAGCAUCCUAUUCCCAAUCCCCGCUUCACGCUCCAUCUCGUCGCCAACAGUUUUAGCCUGCCUAACAUUCCUCUAUCCAAAACAAAUAGCAUGAAGCCGAUUACUUAAUAUAGGCUAUGUUUCUGAGGGUUUCCAGUAUCUGCGGCGUAGGCUACAAUUCCCACCGGAUUCCAUUGCAUUUGUCACAAUAGCACUCGCUCUGACGCAGACAAAUGUAACUAUUUACCUGUCGCUCAUAAUUGAGAAUGGUAAUUGUAUUCGAUUAGUUUACUACCUCCACUAUAUGUAUCGUUUACUAAAUUGGCAUUUUCAUAUUUAUUUGAAAGUGAAGAGCAUUUUAAGAGGACCAUAUCCACAAUCACUAUAUUAUAGGCUAUAUCAGAUUUGUUUAUAGAUGUUUGUGAUAACACAUUGUAUUAGUUAAAUGUGUCGUUACAACAUCGUUUGCAUUAGGCUACUGAAAUUGGCAACACGUUUCUGUAAUUCCUAGAAUAAAAUUAUGAUUUAGCCUGAUAGCUUACCUCAACGUAUGUCUUCUUUCCUCCCUUGGCGACCCUUUCGGUUAGAUCAUGUUUUCAAUAACUGGAUAGCACCUGUUUCCAUGAAGCACCCCUCACAUUAUUACAGUAUCCCCAUCGAUUUUUCCAUAGCGCAACACGAGAAGCCCGCCCCUGACACUCCCCCUUCUGCUGGUUGGCCAGGCCUUGGUGAAUUAUUUUGCCUACGUCGGAAUCACAUGUGGUUGACGCAUGUUUACAAACAUUGGAUGAGAUCACAUGGUGAUGGGACCCAGUUUACAGUAAACCAUUCGACAUUAAGCAUAAAUUAGUGCUCGUCUGCUUGUAGGCCUAAAAACCGAAAUGAGUUACCUCUGGUUCUUUCGGACAUUCCUAUGGGGAAAGUUGAUGGCGUUUUGGGAUAAACACCGAAAAUAAAGUAUAAGGGUAACAAAGGCUUAGGAGAUCUUAUACGUUUUGUUCUAUGAAAUAAUAUCAGUCAGUCAACAUUACCUGUAUGAAUUAUUAAGCCUUUAUGUGCUUGUUUUGAUUAAACAAAUGCUUCAAAAAGUUAGCUGAUUUAAGAUUAUCUCAUAGAACUAAAAACGUCUAAGAUCUCCUAAGCAUGUGUUUACAAUAGACCGUAUUUUCGGUGUUCAUCAAAAAACCGUCAGAAACCUCAUUAAUUGACCAACUAGCCAUGCAGGACUUAGUGCCUACAAAAAUACUGCAUUACUAUAGCUCGCCAGACUGUAGUCCUAAAAAAACGGAAAUGAAACCUCUGGUUCGUUCCGCCAUUACUAAGGCAUUGUGAAUGCAGAAAAUAAGGUAUGAGGUUAAGAGAUCUUAUACAUUUUGUUCUAUAUUAUUAUUAUUAUUAUUAUUAUUAUUAUUAUAACAGUCAGUUAAAACAUGACCUGUAUGAAUUUUGAAGCCAUUAUGUGCUUAUUUUGAUUACGUAAAUGCUUCAAAAUUCACAAAAAGUGAUGUUAGCCGAUGAAUAUUAUCUCAGAGAACAAAACGUAUAGGUCUACAAAGCCUGUGUUUACAACAGACCUUCUUUUCCGGAUUCAUCCAAAAACCCUACAAAAUCCCAUUAAUUUCCGUUAGUGCCUACAAAAAGACGGCAUUACUAUUGCUCUCUAUACUAGUAGUUGUAAAGUAUUAUAUAAUCCCUUCGGCCUCAAAAUAAACAUUCACAUGGCUAUACUAUUGCCUUUAACAUGUUUAUAAUAGGUCUAUGGGAUUCUAUAAGCUUAUAGUAGGAUGGUAUAAGGUACAAAAGCAUUUUUCAGAUAUUAAAAUGUAUUACAUAAGUAUUACACAAUGUCUAAUGUUCUUGGAGAAAGUGGUACUUGAUGUUCUGUUCCCUCCUGUUUUGGUAUGCGGCAGCGGGAGAAAAAUUUGUGCCAGCCAGGGAGUUCGAUUUAGCUCGCCCGGGUUUCCCCAUAGAGAGGAGCUUACCCAGAGUUAAAACGGAUUGUAUUCGUUUUGAAACCGAGCUGCCUUCCGGGAAUGAGCCGGAUGCCCCUUUGAAUGCCGACGGCGAAGUCGGCGGGGGAAAAAAGUGUAUGUCAAGCAUAUGGAGUAAUGAGUUUGGAUUCAGUAUUUUCACGUGCAAAAGUGUAAAAACGCAUAAGCUGCCUUUCCAAGGAAAACUACUUUGAAAAUGUUAACGUGUUUUAUAUUUCUCAAAGAUUCGUCAUGCUGUUUUGUUGUCAUUAAGGCCUGGUGAUUCUCGAUUUGAGUCGGGUGCUCCUCCCUCACCGCUUUUGCCUCGUAAUGUGCCGUUUUUAGCCCAGUUCACCCCGGUUCAGUCUAAUCCAACUCCCUUAGUGUCCCUGAACUGUUAUUGUAAUUCCUUCUUCAAUACAGCAGAGGGCAAUAUAAUACAGAGGAGACACUGGCCUACACAAGUUGCCAUUACUUUGCUGCGUAGUUUGAUUUGAACAGCCAUACGAAGUAACAGGCCCCAUAUCUCAUUUUCUGAUCGAAGGGUUUUGUCUAGCUUUGUGUGUUCUUUGCAUCUCUAUCCCUGUGCAUUUUUACAACAAAUGAAAAUCAAAACACAUUCAUAAUUUGAUAAAAAAUCAUUGCUGACUUUUUGGUGGUAUGAUUACUGGC
RNAcentral lists this long non-coding RNA (3968 nucleotides) under Salmo salar (Atlantic salmon). RNAcentral's name for it is "lncRNA (ENSSSAG00000084705.1)". Lineage: Eukaryota; Metazoa; Chordata; Actinopteri; Salmoniformes; Salmonidae. The record is from RNAcentral.